Molecule: long non-coding RNA, 576 nt
Filed under: Arabidopsis lyrata
Lineage: Eukaryota; Viridiplantae; Streptophyta; Magnoliopsida; Brassicales; Brassicaceae
Description: long non-coding RNA (ALYR_LNC003105)
Source: RNAcentral
GCCCAAAAACAAAUGGUCUAAAGUACGAUCCAUUCCAGUUUCCAAUUACCGCAAGGACCAUCACCAUGUGAGCCCUAAUUUCGCACUUCUCUCACAAUGUAGCCAACAACAAUGUAGAAAUAAUCUGACGGUUUACGCAACUGUCUAUUUAAGACAAUGUUCUUGGAAUAAGGGUACAGAUUAUAAGCAGAUUCAGAAGGAUAAAGUAAUCAACACGACAUAAUCAAAAGACAAAGACGAUGGCUUGAAGCGCAAGUCAUCACCCCUUCAAGCAUUUUCACAACUUGAAAGACUUGUUAAUCAUUGCGCCUCCAUCACAUCGAAAACUGCCUCCAGCCUCGGGUCUACAAUCACUAGGAACGACUGAGAUUGAAAAUCAAGAACCAUUUUAAGUAUCCAAUCGAGAAAAAGCUGGACUACUUCAAUAACGGCGUCUAGUAGAUACAAAAUAAGGCAGAUUCGAGAAAUGCGAAAAUAAAUUGUAAAUUGCAAAGAAGAAGAUACAUGUUAUUGAUGAUCAUGUUGUUGCUCUUAUUGUUGAAGAAGAGAGGCGAAGUGGAGCAUUUUGAGAUCAUG